RNAcentral lists this ribosomal RNA (215 nucleotides) under uncultured bacterium. Its description in RNAcentral is "partial 16S ribosomal RNA". It matches the Rfam family "Bacterial small subunit ribosomal RNA", at positions 524 to 737 of the family's 1533-position model. The record is from RNAcentral.
UACGAGAGGCCCAAACGUUAUUCGGAUUUACUGGGCUUAAAGAGUUCGUAGGCGGCGCAGAAAGUAGGGUGUGAAAGCCCUCGGCUCAACCGAGGAAUUGCGCCCUAAACUACUGUGCUUGAGGGACCUAGAGGUGAGCAGAACAGAUGGUGGAGCGGUGAAAUGCGUUGAUAUCAUCUGGAAUACCGGGAGGCGAAGGCGGCUCACUGGGGGUG